This 783-nucleotide ribosomal RNA is filed under the name Aplanochytrium stocchinoi. RNAcentral's name for it is "partial Bacterial large subunit ribosomal RNA". It matches the Rfam family "Bacterial large subunit ribosomal RNA", at positions 354 to 1145 of the family's 2925-position model. The record is from RNAcentral. Lineage: Eukaryota; Bigyra; Thraustochytrida; Thraustochytriidae.
CCAUAUUGGGUGAUAGCCCCGUACACGAAAAUCUCUUAUCAAUGAAAUCGAGUAGGACGGAGCACGAGAAACUUUGUCUGAAUAUGGGGGGACCAUCCUCCAAGGCUAAAUACUACUGACUGACCGAUAGUGAACUAGUACCGUGAGGGAAAGGCGAAAAGAACCCCGGGAGGGGAGUGAAAUAGAUCCUGAAACCGUAUGCGUACAAGCAGUGGGAGCAGACUUUGUUCUGUGACUGCGUACCUUUUGUAUAAUGGGUCAGCGACUUAUUUUCAGUGGCGAGCUUAACCGAAUAGGGGAGGCGUAGCGAAAGCGAGUCUUAAUAGGGCGUCUAGUCGCUGGGAAUAGACCCGAAACCGGGCGAUCUAUCCAUGGGCAGGUUGAAGGUUAGGUAACACUGACUGGAGGACCGAACCGACUACCGUUGAAAAGUUAGCGGAUGACCUGUGGAUCGGAGUGAAAGGCUAAUCAAGCUCGGAGAUAGCUGGUUCUCCUCGAAAGCUAUUUAGGUAGCGCCUCAUGUAUCACUGUAGGGGGUAGAGCACUGUUUCGGCUAGGGGGUCAUCCCGACUUACCAAACCGAUGCAAACUCCGAAUACCUACAAGUGCCGAGCAUGGGAGACACACGGCGGGUGCUAACGUCCGUCGUGAAAAGGGAAACAACCCAGACCGUCAGCUAAGGUCCCAAAGUUAUGGUUAAGUGGGAAACGAUGUGGGAAGGCUUAGACAGCUAGGAGGUUGGCUUAGAAGCAGCCACCCUUUAAAGAAAGCGUAAUAGCUCAC